RNAcentral lists this signal recognition particle RNA (267 nucleotides) under Oscillospiraceae bacterium. RNAcentral describes it as "signal recognition particle sRNA large type". It matches the Rfam family "Bacterial large signal recognition particle RNA". Rfam says of the family: The signal recognition particle (SRP) is a universally conserved ribonucleoprotein involved in the co-translational targeting of proteins to membranes. Archaeal SRP consists of a 7S RNA and homologues of the eukaryotic SRP19 and SRP54 proteins. Lineage: Bacteria; Bacillati; Bacillota; Clostridia; Eubacteriales; Oscillospiraceae. The record is from RNAcentral.
CCAUACCAGCCGGGGAAUUAGCGGAGCCCUGUACCUGAAAUCCGCUACAGCAGGGGUUCAUUCCUUUCUUGAGGAUGGAUCUGAUACGGCUUGAGUCGUACCUGCUGCGUUGAAGGGCGGGUCUUGCGCAAUCAGGCGCUGUGAACCAUGUCAGGUGGGGAACCAAGCAGCAUUAAGCGGAUUGUCUGAUGUGCCGUGAGGUAGCCUGCUCGGAGCAGAUAGGUACGAAGAUCACGUAGAGGUGAAGUUCGAUCCAAAGGUGUAUGG